UACGUAGGGUGCGAGCGUUGUCCGGAAUUACUGGGCGUAAAGAGCUCGUAGGCGGUCUGUCGCGUCUGCCGUGAAAACCCGAGGCUUAACCUCGGGCUGGCGGUGGAUACGGGCAGACUAGAGGUAGGUAGGGGAGAAUGGAAUUCCCGGUGUAGCGGUGAAAUGCGCAGAUAUCGGGAGGAACACCGGUGGCGAAGGCGGUUCUCUGGGCCUUACCUGACGCUGAGGAGCGAAAGCGUGGGGAGCGAACAGG
RNAcentral lists this ribosomal RNA (253 nucleotides) under uncultured bacterium. RNAcentral's name for it is "partial 16S ribosomal RNA". It matches the Rfam family "Bacterial small subunit ribosomal RNA", at positions 524 to 776 of the family's 1533-position model. The record is from RNAcentral.